RNAcentral lists this ribosomal RNA (337 nucleotides) under Ctenicera cuprea. RNAcentral describes it as "partial 16S ribosomal RNA". The record is from RNAcentral. Lineage: Eukaryota; Metazoa; Arthropoda; Insecta; Coleoptera; Elateridae.
AGAGAUAGCUGUCUCUAUNNNANUUAUUUUUGAAGUUAACUUUUAAGUUAAAAGGCUUAAAUUUUUCUUAAAGACGAGAAGACCCUAUAGAGUUUAAUAGUUAAAUUAAUUAAAGGUUUUUGGUUAUUUAAUUCUUUAAUUGGUUUAGUUAUUUGGUUGGGGUGACUAANAGAUUUAAUAAACUCUUUUAAGAUUUAAUCAUUGAUUUAUGAAUAUAUAAUCUAAUUUUUUUAAGUUUAAUAUAAAUUACCUUAGGGAUAACAGCGUUAUUUCUUUUUAGAGUUCUAAUUAAAAGAGAAGUUUGCGACCUCGAUGUUGAUUUAAAUUGCCGCGGUAU